AGCUCCAAUAGCGUAUAUUAAAGUUGUUGCAGUUAAAAAGCUCGUAGUUGAAAUACUGACAUAGUCGACCGGUCUCACGCAUUGUCGUGAGCACUUGUGUUGUAUUAGGUCAUUCUUGGAUUUUAGCCAGUCUGGCAUUAAGUUGUCGGGUUGGUGAAAACCAUCGUUUACUGUGAAAAAAUUAGAGUGUUCAAAGCAGACUUAUGUCGUUGAAUAGAUUAGCAUGGAAUAAUAAUAUAGGACUUUUGUACUAUUUUGUUGGUUAGGUGUAAAAGUAAUGAUCAAUAGGGACAGUUGGGCGUAUUCGUAUUUCGUUGCUAGAGGUGAAAUUCUUGGAUUUCCGAAAGACGAACUACUGCGAAAGCAUUUACGAAGGAUGUUUUCA
RNAcentral lists this ribosomal RNA (385 nucleotides) under uncultured eukaryote. Its description in RNAcentral is "SSU rRNA". It matches the Rfam family "Eukaryotic small subunit ribosomal RNA", at positions 587 to 972 of the family's 1831-position model. The record is from RNAcentral.